UACGUAGGGGGCAAGCGUUGUCCGGAAUCAUUGGGCGUAAAGAGCGUGUAGGCGGCCAGGUAGGUCUGCUGUGAAAACUCGAGGCUCAACCUCGAGAUGUCGGCGGAAACCAUCUGGCUAGAGUCCGGAAGAGGAGAGUAGAAUUCCUGGUGUAGCGGUGAAAUGCGCAGAUAUCAGGAGGAAUACCCGUGGCGAAAGCGGCUCUCUGGGACGGUACUGACGCUGAGACGCGAAAGCGUGGGGAGCAAACAGG
This 253-nucleotide ribosomal RNA is filed under the name uncultured bacterium. RNAcentral describes it as "partial 16S ribosomal RNA". It matches the Rfam family "Bacterial small subunit ribosomal RNA", at positions 524 to 776 of the family's 1533-position model. The record is from RNAcentral.